This 464-nucleotide ribosomal RNA is filed under the name Vreelandella stevensii. RNAcentral describes it as "partial 16S ribosomal RNA". It matches the Rfam family "Bacterial small subunit ribosomal RNA", at positions 338 to 794 of the family's 1533-position model. The record is from RNAcentral. Lineage: Bacteria; Pseudomonadati; Pseudomonadota; Gammaproteobacteria; Oceanospirillales; Halomonadaceae.
CCUACGGGAGGCUGCAGUGGGGAAUAUUGGACAAUGGGCGAAAGCCUGAUCCAGCCAUGCCGCGUGUGUGAAGAAGGCCUUCGGGUUGUAAAGCACUUUCAGUGGGGAAGAAAGCCUUGGGGCUAAUACCCUCGAGGAAGGACAUCACCCACAGAAGAAGCACCGGCUAACUCCGUGCCAGCAGCCGCGGUAAUACGGAGGGUGCGAGCGUUAAUCGGAAUUACUGGGCGUAAAGCGCGCGUAGGCGGUCUGAUAAGCCGGUUGUGAAAGCCCCGGGCUCAACCUGGGAACGGCAUCCGGAUGUGGCAGGGUAGAGUGCGGGAGAGGAAGGUAGAAUGCCCGGGGUCGCGGUGACGUGCGUAGAGAACGGGGGGGAUAGGGGGGGCGGAGGCGGGGUACAGGACUGACAGUGACGCUGAGGUGCGAGUAACUGCCUAGCAACCAGGACUAGCUGACCCUGUAGU